CAAGUUGCAACCUUACUUGAGGCAAAAAAAUGGCGUGAACGCUACUGGCCCAAAGGCCUUAUAGGAUUUAAUGGACUUCAAAGGCCUCCCAAAUGUCAUUAUAAUUAUUAUCAUAAAUAAAUAAGAUUAUAGUGUUCGGUGGUGUAGGCGUAGGCGUCGAUGAGCAGGCUGUUGUUGGUUUUUAAUUAUCUAAUUUGGUCUGAGCUUCCAUCUUGCAAGCAAGGAGGACUUUGAAACUUUUCUUUGAGGUGAAGAAAGGAAGGACUGGAAGCAAUGGAGAAGGGGUAUCUGCCGAAAGUCACACCGGAGUUUGAUGUGUUUGGAGAAGAAGAUGAUGACAUAGCUUGAGGUUUUGUGAAGUCACAUGGGUCUGCUCCUGCUGUACUAUACAGUCAGCUUUAAUUUGAAAAUUUGGGGAAUGGGCCAAUAGGUGGCGAUGGAUCUUAUAGAGGAUGGGGGUGUAAUGGGACCCAUAGGUUUAGUAGAUGGAUAUUAAACAUUUUGUGUACUUUGGGUUUUUAUUGGUUCUUACUGGGGGUAAUGUUUGUUGGGGUUUUUUUUUUUUUGGGGGGGGGGGGGGGGCUUUAGCUUCUUGCUAAUGUUCAAACUUUAUUGUAACCGUUUAUGAUUUUUAAUAAAGCGAAAACUUAUCAAAAAA
RNAcentral lists this long non-coding RNA (658 nucleotides) under Aquilegia coerulea. Its description in RNAcentral is "long non-coding RNA (ACOE_LNC000935)". The record is from RNAcentral. Lineage: Eukaryota; Viridiplantae; Streptophyta; Magnoliopsida; Ranunculales; Ranunculaceae.